Molecule: ribosomal RNA, 430 nt
Filed under: uncultured Legionella sp.
Lineage: Bacteria; Pseudomonadati; Pseudomonadota; Gammaproteobacteria; Legionellales; Legionellaceae
Description: bacterial SSU rRNA
Rfam family: Bacterial small subunit ribosomal RNA
Source: RNAcentral
UGAUAGGUUAAGAGCUAAUUAACUGGACGUUACCCACAGAAGAAGCACCGGCUAACUCCGUGCCAGCAGCCGCGGUAAUACGGAGGGUGCGAGCGUUAAUCGGAAUUACUGGGCGUAAAGAGUGCGUAGGUGGUUAAUUAAGUUAUCUGUGAAAUCCCUGGGCUCAACCUGGGCAGGUCAGAUAAUACUGGUUAACUCGAGUAUGGGAGAGGGUAGUGGAAUUUCCGGUGUAGCGGUGAAAUGCGUAGAGAUCGGAAGGAACACCAGUGGCGAAGGCGGCUACCUGGCCUAAUACUGACACUGAGGCACGAAAGCGUGGGGAGCAAACAGGAUUAGAUACCCUGGUAGUCCACGCUGUAAACGAUGUCAACUAGCUGUUGGUUAUAUGAAUAUAAUUAGUGGCGCAGCAAACGCGAUAAGUUGACAUCGU